AUUGAACGCUGGCGGCAGGCCUAACACAUGCAAGUCGAACGGUAACAGGAAACAGCUUGCUGUUUCGCUGACGAGUGGCGGACGGGUGAGUAAUGUCUGGGAAACUGCCUGAUGGAGGGGGAUAACUACUGGAAACGGUAGCUAAUACCGCAUAACGUCGCAAGCCCAAAGAGGGGGACCCUCGGGCCUCUUGCCAUCGGAUGUGCCCAGAUGGGAUUCGCUUGUUGGUGGGGUAACGGCUCACCAAGGCGACGAUCCCUAGCUGGUCUGAGAGGAUGACCAGCCACAGUGGAACUGAGACACGGUCCAGACGCCUACGGGAGGCAGCAGUGGGGAAUAUUGCACAAUGGGCGCAAGCCUGAUGCAGCCAUGCCGCGUGUAUGAAGAAGGCCUUCGGGUUGUAAAGUACUUUCAGCGGGGAGGAAGGGAGUAAAGUUAAGACCUUUGCUCAUUGACGUUACCCGCAGAAGAAGCACCGGCUAACUCCGG
RNAcentral lists this ribosomal RNA (489 nucleotides) under uncultured bacterium. RNAcentral describes it as "partial 16S ribosomal RNA". It matches the Rfam family "Bacterial small subunit ribosomal RNA", at positions 30 to 506 of the family's 1533-position model. The record is from RNAcentral.